This 492-nucleotide ribosomal RNA is filed under the name uncultured bacterium. RNAcentral describes it as "partial 16S ribosomal RNA". It matches the Rfam family "Bacterial small subunit ribosomal RNA", at positions 29 to 507 of the family's 1533-position model. The record is from RNAcentral.
AGUGAACGCUGGCGGUAGGCCUAACACAUGCAAGUCGAACGGCAGCACAGUAAGAGCUUGCUCUUACGGGUGGCGAGUGGCGGACGGGUGAGGCAUACAUCGGAAUCUACUUUUUCGUGGGGGAUAACGUAGGGAAACUUACGCUAAUACCGCAUACGACCUACGGGUGAAAGCAGGGGAUAUUCGGACCUUUCCCGAUUUAAUGAGCCGAUGUCGGAUUAGCUAGUUGGCGGGGUAAAGGCCCACCAAGGCGGCGAUCCGUAGCUGGUCUGAGAGGAUGAUGAGCCACACUGGAACUGAGACACGGUCCAGACUCCUACGGGAGGCACCAGUGGGGAAUAUUGGACAAUGGGCGCAGGCCUGAUCCAGCCAUACCGCGUGGGUGAAGAAGGCCUUCGGGUUGUAAAGCCCUUUUGUUGGGAAAGAAAAGCAGCAGGUUAAUACCCCGCUGUUCUGACGGUACCCAACGAAUAAGCACCGGCUAACUUCGUG